Molecule: long non-coding RNA, 135 nt
Organism: Loxodonta africana (African savanna elephant)
Lineage: Eukaryota; Metazoa; Chordata; Mammalia; Proboscidea; Elephantidae
Rfam family: CDKN2B antisense RNA 1 convserved region 3
Source: Rfam
UUUGAUGAGAAGAAUAAAUUUCAUUCUGGUUCUUAGCAGAGAUCAAUGAUAAGAUUUCUGUCCUCUUAAGGGCAUGUUAUCUGCAUUUAAAAAAUUGGAAAGUGCAAAUCAAAGAGCAUUCCUUGGAAGGAGGGG